This 122-nucleotide ribosomal RNA is filed under the name Dasypus novemcinctus (nine-banded armadillo). Lineage: Eukaryota; Metazoa; Chordata; Mammalia; Cingulata; Dasypodidae. The record is from RNAcentral.
AAGUAGGUCCAUACCACCCUAAAAGUACCUGAUUUCAUCUGCUCUCAGUAGCUAAGCAGAGUCGGGCCUAUUUUUAAAUGAUGUGUGUGGGGUGGGGAGUGGGGUAUAUGAAAACCUCUUAU